AUCCCUGUUAUUAUAUUUUAUUUGUUUAUUAUAUGGAGAUGUGGGAGAGGAAUCCUUGGAUGGAAAUACUGAAAAAUGCUGAUCUUCCUAUUGGAGGAAAGCUUCUGUUUUGCUUGCCUUGGGUGCUGGAUCAAGGUAUUAAAACAGCAGUGGAGCAGCAGAUGCUAUACCUUGCAUAUUGCUAAAGAUGCUACCUACGCAGUUCCUAAAAACACGAGCCCUUCUAAUGGGAAGAAGCAGAAAAACUCCCAUUGACUUCAGUUGGGUAUAGAUUUCAGGUGGCAAACAGAGUGGUGGUACUUUCUGGUUUACAGUAGCUUUGACUUCUCUUUUGUACUUUAUAAAACAGUUACAUUCCGUAUAUAAAAGUGUCUGCUUUGCAUUAAAAGCAAGUUUUCUUUUUAAGCAAGUUGAAUAAACCUCCUUUAAAUAGAUGAGACUGUUGGUACCGGGAGCUGUGACUUAGUGUAUAUUCUUUCAACAUUUUCAAAUGCUCAUUACAAUUCCUACUUAUUUUAUAGCAAUAUCACACAAUAAACAUUUCUUUUCUGAUUAAGGGAUUGAAAGAGAACUGAAUUAUAAACAGUAUUAAUAUAAAAGGGAAUUUCUAUCCGGUGCUCUGUAGGCCUGAGUUUAUUUGACCUUAAACAAUCAGUCAGAAGAAGUCACAUCAGCUGCUGUACACAUUCCACAUUACGGAGGAAUUAAAUUAAGCAGCUUUAAUAUCUGUGAAAUGGCACAGGACUGAAAGAGAAUCGUUCCAAUUUAUGGAAUUUGUAUCUGAUUUACUAGUGCAUGUCUAGCAAUUCCAGAGCCACCAAUUGCUUUAAGACCACCUCCAAAGUGUUUUUAUCACUUACAGUAAAUGUGCUAACAUCGUGUUUUAAUUAAACAUUUAAAGUGCAUCAAACAAAUUUAUUGAUGCCGCCAGAAGAGGCAAAAAGGAAGGCAAAAAAAAAAAAGAAGAAUUUCUCCUAUUUGCAAAAUGCCCUGGUGUACGCAUGAUGGUGUGACCCUGCUAAGACUGCCCUCAAACAUUCCAGCUAAUGUCUAUAAAUUAGCAACUGCUUCCCCUCCCCUCCAGUCCCUCGUUUUCCAUCCCCAACCCCCCAAAUCAUACUUUGUGCAUAAAAACAUGGCAAGAGCUUGUUGAAAGCCAUUCAGCUAUAAUAUCAAAUGGUUGUGAACACUGCAUUUAUUUUUGCUCCUUGAACGCAGGCCUGAUAUUGAAAUGAUAUAAAAGUCCCAACAGCGCUUUAUAUUGAUGUUGGCAUUAAAAAUGCUUUUUCUGUUAGUGAGAGAGAAGUUUCCCCCUUAAAAAAAAUAAAAGCCAAUACCGGGCCUAUCAAAACUUUAUCAUCCUGUUACCACUUGGGCACAGUAUUAAAUAUUCAGAACUGGAGCUGGUUUUCAUUAGAAAUCCUUUUCCCUUCUGCACUGGGGAUCGCAGACCCGCAACGGGUCCAGAAUUCCUACAAUCCUUUAAAAAAGAGGAAAGUAGGCAUGGCAUUGCCAUCACCUGCAAAGACAUGCUUGGAUUUCAGCCCCAAGCUCGCAGGACUGAUGCGGGGUGGCAGGGGCAGAGGUUGGCCUGGGAGCACCGCCGGCCUCACCACCUCCUCCAGUCCUGCUCAUUGCUGCAGGAUGGGGGACCUCAGGGAAUGUGGCCCAACGGUUCAGUGCGGAGAGGCAAUCUGCAGAGGGCUACGUGAUGAUUUAUGCUUUAUGGCACCAAAACUACGGGCAUGUUUUUUGUGUGCAUAAUAUAGCUUGGGUUUCCUUAGGAGGGGAAGAGUAUUUUGUCUUCCUGAGUAACCAUUUGUUUUAGAGACUGAUGAUGGUGGCAGGUUUGCCUUCUUACAUAUCCAUUCUCACAUAUAUCUGUUGUUGUAUUUAGCUGUUCUCUCAUAUGCAGUGGGUCAUAAUAUGAACAGAAAGCAUAUUUCUGUACCAAACAGACGUACGCAUGCUGGUGCCUAGAGAUAGGUGUCUAAGCAGUUCUUGUUGAGGUCAGUUGCCUGCUAACAAGCUGGUAUACAAAUGUAAAGUGCAUUUCAUUUUUAUUAUGUUAUAUUACAUAUCAUCUUCGAUUGAAUUUGCUCCGUUUGUUCAAACCCAAUAACUGUAAACAUCACGUGGCUGGAGAGGAAACAAGCAAGGAACCCGAUAGCUGCUGGAUCUGCCAGGAAACUGGCAAGGCAGAACUCAGAAUGCUGUGGCACAGCUGAGAAUGGCUAUUGCUGGGAGACUGUGCCUUUUAUUCAGAGAAAAAAAUAAAUGAGGGUGAGUAAUGUUAUCUCUAGGGAUCACAAUCCUUAUUUUUGCACGCCAUUCGGUCACAGACUGUGUGAAAGAUAGCGUGGUGUCCAACACAGCGGGACAAGUGUCUUAAUGGUGGUUAUUCACUGAUAUCCUUUGUGAUCUCCUGUCCUGCACUGACUCAUCCCAGCUUGCAGGAGACAAUCCCAACGCAGGGUGUUUCAUGGUUACCUCGUGGUCCACGUCUAUUUUUGUAUCUGUUGUCUCCUGCUUUAUACUUAGCUCUUCAGGCAUUCUAGAAUUUGGUAUAAUGGAGCCCAAUCAAUGAUGUGAGCUACUGAGCAAGUAACACAGCGUGAAUAUGGGGAAAUAAUUGUGUCUUUCAGCAGGAAGGUGGAGCCAUUUUUCUAGAGAAAAGAAAUAAAGGCCUCAGAAGAAGGAUGCAGCAUUUCUCCUCACAUCGCUUUAUCUUGGAUGAUUUACCAUUGUGUUCUAGGGGAGUGAUUUUCAAAAAGAAUGAAUUUUGCAUUAAAUCCCGAGUAUGGUUGCUGCAGAAGAGAAGAUAUUUGCCUAUUCAGAUGAUGAGCUGGAUGCAUAAGUGAUCGCAUCAAUGGGUAAUGUGCACAUUCACUCAUGAGGAAAAAAUUUGCAUGCCCUAUAAAGACCUAAAAGUUGAACAUCUGGCCUUUUCUGUGGCACCUCAAUUUUGCAUCAAUGUCUUCUAUUCCUUGAAAGGUUUAUUCCUAAAACCGUCAGAUCAUCACAGUCUUGAUACAACAUUCACUGCACACUGUUGGUAAAUGAGCCGAGCUCAGCUGUGGUGGAAUGACUAAUUGUUUUGCAUUAGAGAUGUUACGUUCACCAGGAAGUCCUGGAGUUGUGCAUGGCUGGACAUGCAUGGCAGAAAGACUGGUGCUGUUCUUCUGCCGUGCACGAGGGACUGAGGACACACUGCUUUGUUAUAAUGGAAAAUUCAUUCAACUUCUGCAGCGUAGAACUCUUUUCUUCUAUCUAGCUCUUCGAUAUUGCAAAAAUACAUAGUUAUUACCAGUGUGAACCAGGAGAAAAGUCUUUGGCCCUGCCUGUGGCUGGGGGGUUGGAACUUGAUGAUCCCCGGGGCCCCUUCCAACCCAAGCCAUUCUAUGAUUGUGUGUUUCUGUGAAAAGAAGCAUGCUAAAAGUGAUACAAAGUAAGAUAUCUUUCCUCUCAGCUUUGCCCUGCUGCCUGUACACCCAACUGAAGUCCCAUCCCUCUGGUUCCUGCUAGGAUUCUGGGAAAGCCCAAGCCUGUACUACCUGUCCGUAACACUGAAUAUUGUGAUAUUAUUUUUUCUGUGCUAUUGCCUUGCAAGCACGGAGUGAAAAUUGCACCUAACCAGAAAGACUGGUGGACCAGGCACUUCUCUUGUGUCUGCUGCUACCUGGCUGCUGAUGCAGAUCGUUGGUUUGCUGUGGGCGUUCACUCCUCUUCCACAUCUCAUUGCCUUUAUUUUUGUAAUUUCGCCCUUGCCCCAACCACUCCAAAUCCAGUUUGGGUUUGGACUGCGCAGCUCUGAUUAUGAGUCACAGCAAUAUUCUCACACAUCCCGGUAUAUUAGUUAGGGGACCUGUGAAACAGCAGUAGGACAGAAAGUUAUUAGUUGAAAUUCCCAAAUGAAGGCGCAAGUGCUGAGGAACUCGCUCUGCUUUUAUUUGCCCCAGCUGAGGCAGAAAUCUCGUGCAGCAUGAAUAAAUUGUUACCUGCUAGCUAAGAGAAGGGAGUUAUCCGCUGGGUUACAGCCAUCAGACUUACACUCCGGGUGCAACCUAAGGGGCUCUCCGCUUUCAGACUUGCGGCCCAGUUUUGCAAGACUGCAACUUAGGAAAUUAAAUCUUAUCAAUCUUGAAGCACUUUUUCUCUGGAAGUAAGGGCCCGAGCGCACGGAGAUCCCUCGGAUGGGUUUUGGUCGCAGGACGAGUGGUGGGCUUAAAAUUAAAGUUACAAAGAAGCCAGUGCUUCUGAUGGCUUCUGGCCCUGCCAGCUGCUGGCAGAUGCUAAAUAAGGAGGGCCCAGGUGCUGCUAGAAGCAAGUGAUGGGGAAGAUAACAAGGGGGGUUACCAGCCAUUCCCUCCCAUGCAGAAAAG
Gallus gallus (chicken) is the source of this 4382-nucleotide long non-coding RNA. The record is from Ensembl. Lineage: Eukaryota; Metazoa; Chordata; Aves; Galliformes; Phasianidae.